AGUGAACGCCGGCGGUAGGCCUAACACAUGCAAGUCGAACGGCAGCACAGAGGAGCUUGCUCCUUGGGUGGCGAGUGGCGGACGGGUGAGGAAUACAUCGGAAUCUACUCUGUCGUGGGGGAUAACGUAGGGAAACUUACGCUAAUACCGCAUACGACCUACGGGUGAAAGCAGGGGAUCUUCGGACCUUGCGCGAUUGAAUGAGCCGAUGUCGGAUUAGCUAGUUGGCGGGGUAAAGGCCCACCAAGGCGACGAUCCGUAGCUGGUCUGAGAGGAUGAUCAGCCACACUGGAACUGAGACACGGUCCAGACUCCUACGGGAGGCAGCAGUGGGGAAUAUUGGACAAUGGGCGCAAGCCUGAUCCAGCCAUACCGCGUGGGUGAAGAAGGCCUUCGGGUUGUAAAGCCCUUUUGUUGGGAAAGAAAUCCAGCCGGCUAAUACCUGGUUGGGAUGACGGUACCCAAAGAAUAAGCACCGGCUAACUUCGUGCCAGCAGCCGCGGUAAUACGAAGGGUGCAAGCGUUACUCGGAAUUACUGGGCGUAAAGCGUGCGUAGGUGGUUAUUUAAGUCCGUUGUGAAAGCCCUGGGCUCAACCUGGGAACUGCAGUGGAUACUGGAUGACUAGAAUGUGGUAGAGGGUAGCGGAAUUCCUGGUGUAGCAGUGAAAUGCGUAGAGAUCAGGAGGAACAUCCAUGGCGAAGGCAGCUACCUGGACCAACAUUGACACUGAGGCACGAAAGCGUGGGGAGCAAACAGG
Molecule: ribosomal RNA, 759 nt
Filed under: uncultured Stenotrophomonas sp.
Lineage: Bacteria; Pseudomonadati; Pseudomonadota; Gammaproteobacteria; Lysobacterales; Lysobacteraceae
Description: bacterial SSU rRNA
Rfam family: Bacterial small subunit ribosomal RNA
Source: RNAcentral